RNAcentral lists this non-coding RNA (220 nucleotides) under Blautia sp. Its description in RNAcentral is "T-box sequence". It matches the Rfam family "T-box leader". Rfam says of the family: Uncharged tRNA acts as the effector for transcription antitermination of genes in the T-box leader family. T-boxes are found upstream of many aminoacyl-tRNA synthetase genes and some amino acid biosynthetic genes usually in Gram-positive bacteria. The anticodon of a specific tRNA base pairs to a specifier sequence within the T-box motif, and the NCCA acceptor tail of the tRNA base pairs to a conserved bulge in the T-box antiterminator hairpin. The record is from RNAcentral. Lineage: Bacteria; Bacillati; Bacillota; Clostridia; Lachnospirales; Lachnospiraceae.
AUAAAGACGAAGAAGAGGAGUAGUAGGAAAAUGUUUCCUUUUUCAGAGACCUGCCGGAUGGUGCAAGGCAGGAGAGGAUAUUUCUGAACUCGCCCUGGAGUUGCCGAAGUGAACUGAAAGUAGCUUUGGACGGGAAAUCCCGUUACAGAUUUAAUGAGUGCAUCGGAUGAUAUCCGGUGAAUUAGAGUGGUACCACGGAAUUCAGCCUUUCGUCUCUAAC